ACGAACGCUGGCGGCGUGCUUAACACAUGCAAGUCGCGCGGUAAGGCCUCUUCGGGGGUACACGAGCGGCGAACGGGUGAGUAACACGUGGGUGACCUGCCCUCAGCUCUGGGAUAAGCCUGGGAAACUGGGUCUAAUACCGGAUAUGACCACAUGUUGCAUGGUGUGUGGUGGAAAGUUUUUUCGGCUGGGGAUGGGCCCGCGGCCUAUCAGCUUGUUGGUGGGGUGAUGGCCUACCAAGGCGACGACGGGUAGCCGGCCUGAGAGGGCGACCGGCCACACUGGGACUGAGACACGGCCCAGACUCCUACGGGAGGCAGCAGUGGGGAAUAUUGCGCAAUGGGCGGAAGCCUGACGCAGCGACGCCGCGUGGGGGAUGACGGCCUUCGGGUUGUAAACCUCUUUCGACCGGGACGAAGCGUAAGUGACGGUACCGGUAGAAGAAGCACCGGCCAACUACGUG
Molecule: ribosomal RNA, 463 nt
Filed under: uncultured bacterium
Lineage: Bacteria
Description: partial 16S ribosomal RNA
Rfam family: Bacterial small subunit ribosomal RNA
Source: RNAcentral